GAUGAACGCUGGCGGCGUGCCUAAUACAUGCAAGUCGAGCGAACGGACGAGAAGCUUGCUUCUCUGAUGUUAGCGGCGGACGGGUGAGUAACACGUGGAUAACCUACCUAUAAGACUGGGAUAACUUCGGGAAACCGGAGCUAGUACCGGAUAAUAUUUUGAACCGCAUGGUUCAAAAGUGAAAGACGGUCUUGCUGUCACUUAUAGAUGGAUCGGCGCUGCAUUAGCUAGUUGGUAGGGUAACGGCUUACCAAGGCAACGAUGCAUAGCCGACCUGAGAGGGUGAUCGGCCACACUGGAACUGAGACACGGUCCAGACUCCUACGGGAGGGAGCAGUAGGGAAUCUUACGCAAUGGGCGAAAGCCUGACGCAGCAACGCCGCGUGCGUGAUGAAGAUCUUCGGAUCGUAAAACUCUGUUAUUAGGGAAGACCAUAUGUGUAAGUAACUGUGCACAUCUUGACGGUACCUAAUCAGAAAGCCACGGCUAACUACGUG
This 497-nucleotide ribosomal RNA is filed under the name uncultured bacterium. RNAcentral's name for it is "partial 16S ribosomal RNA". It matches the Rfam family "Bacterial small subunit ribosomal RNA", at positions 28 to 507 of the family's 1533-position model. The record is from RNAcentral.